This 24-nucleotide non-coding RNA is filed under the name Arabidopsis thaliana (thale cress). The record is from RNAcentral. Lineage: Eukaryota; Viridiplantae; Streptophyta; Magnoliopsida; Brassicales; Brassicaceae.
CAAAUUCAUCCGGUGUUCCAUGUG